This 235-nucleotide unclassified non-coding RNA is filed under the name uncultured Spizellomyces. RNAcentral describes it as "sequence contains ITS2". Lineage: Eukaryota; Fungi; Chytridiomycota. The record is from RNAcentral.
UUAAUAUCUCACCAAGUUAUGGGUGGAAGCUCAUAACAAGGUGGAAUUUGGAUGUUUUUGUCUCUGUACAAUCAUCUCAAAGUGAUCGUAUGUGCUUGAGUGUGCUCUGGCAGUUGGGUACCAACGUGCAACAGAUUUUAUCUUUUCGCUUUGGUAUUUAAUUGAAAUCAGGCACCUGAAGUGUAUAUUUGCUGGCUUACAGAUGUUAUGCAUAAUGCAUGUAUGGCUUCUGAUA